CAUUAACGGAAUAAUUCUCCGUCAUCGCAGUUCAAAAGCGAAUUUUUUCAGUCGUUUACAAACUCACGAAGGAGCAUCGCCUACUGUUCAUCAUCGGCGAAGAUCAAAAGGCGACUCCGAUGGUCGACGUUCAGCGAAAUUCAGAAAGUGACAAAUUCGGUAACGGUAUGGUUUUAGUUGCGUUAAAAUUUCGAGGAAGAGGCUCUGAGAGUGAAGAAAGAGAUAUUAUUGUUUUAAGCAAUCCUCAAAGUUCUAAUCACACCUAAAAAUUGAAAAAG
Salvia splendens (bonfire salvia) is the source of this 278-nucleotide long non-coding RNA. RefSeq lists it as uncharacterized. The record is from RefSeq and is a predicted model, not a curated record. NCBI's taxonomy places the organism in Eukaryota, Viridiplantae, Streptophyta, Magnoliopsida, Lamiales, Lamiaceae. The transcript has 3 exons.